GUAAUAAUGGCCACACGAGGGGUUUUCUGUCUUUUACUUUCAAUCCGUGAAAAUGACCUUCCCGGGAAGGGGCGGGAAUACGACAAUAAGAGGAGAAGACCCUAUGGAGCUUUAAUUAACCGACCCAAAGAGAUCUUAUUAAUCAACCGACAGGAACAACAUACCUCUACCAUGGGCCGACAAUUUAGGUUGGGGUGACCUCGGAGAACAGAACAACCUCCGAGUGAUUUAAAUCAAGACUAACCAGUCGAAAGUAUUACAUCACUUAUUGAUCCAAAAACUUGAUCAUCGGAACAAGUUACCCUAGGGAUAACAGCGCAAUCCUAUUUUAGAGUCCAUAUCGACAAUAGGGUUUACGACCUCCAUGUUGGA
RNAcentral lists this ribosomal RNA (372 nucleotides) under Panthera onca (jaguar). RNAcentral's name for it is "partial large subunit ribosomal RNA". It matches the Rfam family "Bacterial large subunit ribosomal RNA", at positions 1990 to 2536 of the family's 2925-position model. The record is from RNAcentral. Lineage: Eukaryota; Metazoa; Chordata; Mammalia; Carnivora; Felidae.